CACGUAGGCGGAUUGUUAAGUCAGGGGUGAAAUCCUGGAGCUCAACUCCAGAACUGCCUUUGAUACUGACGAUCUCGAGUUCGGGAGAGGUGAGUGGAACUGCGAGUGUAGAGGUGAAAUUCGUAGAUAUUCGCAAGAACACCAGUGGCGAAGGCGGCUCACUGGCCCGAUACUGACGCUGAGGUGCGAAAGCGUGGGAGCAAACA
Molecule: ribosomal RNA, 206 nt
Filed under: uncultured bacterium
Lineage: Bacteria
Description: partial 16S ribosomal RNA
Rfam family: Bacterial small subunit ribosomal RNA
Source: RNAcentral